GGACGUGUAGCUCAGUUGGCUAAUUUAGAGCGCUUCCAUGGCAUGGAAGAGGUCGGGGGUUCAAAUCCUCCCGCGUCCA
Molecule: transfer RNA, 79 nt
Filed under: candidate division WWE3 bacterium
Lineage: Bacteria; candidate division WWE3
Description: tRNA-Ala
Rfam family: tRNA
About the family: Transfer RNA (tRNA) molecules are approximately 80 nucleotides in length. Their secondary structure includes four short double-helical elements and three loops (D, anti-codon, and T loops).
Source: RNAcentral